Molecule: long non-coding RNA, 239 nt
Organism: Megalobrama amblycephala (Wuchang bream)
Lineage: Eukaryota; Metazoa; Chordata; Actinopteri; Cypriniformes; Xenocyprididae
Exons: 3
Source: RefSeq, a predicted model, not a curated record
GUUCAAGGCAUUAGACAAGGAAAGGCAGUAUUAACGUCUAGAUCUGUGCACAGACAAGCAGGAACAGAGACAGUGAGGGGAAUCCUCCCAAAAUCCUCUCUGGGAAAGAGCCCUUGACUGAAACCACACUGACAUCCUGGAGCAGACUCUUUCAAUGGGCUUCACUAUCAUCAGUCAAACAAGUAAUUCGUUUAUCCACAAGGUGGCAACCGUGCCCUGGGGUCAUCAAUUCACAAGGU